Molecule: transfer-messenger RNA, 400 nt
Filed under: Tannerella sp.
Lineage: Bacteria; Pseudomonadati; Bacteroidota; Bacteroidia; Bacteroidales; Tannerellaceae
Rfam family: transfer-messenger RNA
About the family: Bacterial tmRNA, also known as 10Sa RNA or SsrA, is named for its dual tRNA and mRNA-like properties.
Source: RNAcentral
GGGGCUGACCGGUUUUGACAGCGGGUAGAAGUGGUUUGUAAGCAUGCAGCGCGUCAUUGACCGGCGCUUUAAUCUCGGUUGAUAAAAAUUUAACUGGCGAAAAUAAUUAUGCUCUCGCUGCUUGAUUGAAGUUCAGUAGAUCAUAGCUUUAUCCUUACGCAAGGCGUUUGGACGAGACAUCACCCGGAAACUGUGGCUUCGAAGUGUUCCGACAAGGUGGUGCAGAUAUAUCGGAGAUAGUUCGAAGGAAGUCCUGUACUUCGGAUGAAAAUUAAGGGAAUAAGGUUUCGGUUGGUAGCUUCGGUCUUGCCGAAACACGAAAAUCAAAGCGAAGAUAAGCAUGUAGAAAGCAAAUUAAUUCCUCGUUUGGACGAGAGUUCGAAUCUCUCCAGCUCCACAA